RNAcentral lists this long non-coding RNA (108 nucleotides) under Chinchilla lanigera (long-tailed chinchilla). Its description in RNAcentral is "lncRNA (ENSCLAG00000025513.1)". Lineage: Eukaryota; Metazoa; Chordata; Mammalia; Rodentia; Chinchillidae. The record is from RNAcentral.
GCAUAUAUCACCGCAUUUUGAAUUGCAUCACUCAGCAAUGAAAGACUAGCUUAAAGUUUGGCCCGUGCCCCCAGGCGCAGUCUGUGUUAAAUAAGCAGCAGAAGAACC